GACGAACGCUGGCGGCGUGCUUAACACAUGCGAGUCGAACGGAAAGGCCCUGCUUGCCGGGUACUCGAGUGGCGAACGGGUGAGUAACACGUGGGUGAUCUGCCCUGCACUUCGGGAUAAGCCUGGGAAACUGGGUCUAAUACCGGAUAGGAGCCAUUUUUAGUGUGAUGGUUGGAAAGUUUUUUCGGUGUAGGAUGAGCUCGCGGCCUAUCAGCUUGUUGGUGGGGUAAUGGCCUACCAAGGCGGCGACGGGUAGCCGGCCUGAGAGGGUGGACGGCCACAUUGGGACUGAGAUACGGCCCAGACGCCUACGGGAGGCAGCAGUGGGGAAUAUUGCACAAUGGGCGCAAGCCUGAUGCAGCGACGCCGCGUGGGGGAUGACGGCCUUCGGGUUGUAAACUCCUUUCGCUAGGGACGAAGCUUUUUGUGACGGUACCUAGAUAAGAAGCACCGGCUAACUACGUG
Molecule: ribosomal RNA, 465 nt
Filed under: uncultured bacterium
Lineage: Bacteria
Description: partial 16S ribosomal RNA
Rfam family: Bacterial small subunit ribosomal RNA
Source: RNAcentral